Molecule: ribosomal RNA, 1212 nt
Filed under: Triticum aestivum (bread wheat)
Lineage: Eukaryota; Viridiplantae; Streptophyta; Magnoliopsida; Poales; Poaceae
Description: partial small subunit ribosomal RNA
Source: RNAcentral
AUGGAGGUGGCCAACGAUAUCUGGACAGCAGCUCUCGUCAUAGUUCAGAAGACUGACGAAACACCCUCUGCACUUGCUCCACCCAAAAUUCAGAUAGUUCUGAAUGAAUAUAAAGACGUCUUUGCUGAACCAACAACCUUGCGCUCGCGCCACCUGUAUGACCACAACAUUAAUCUGGAGCCGGGCACAACAUCGAUCAACACCAAGCCAUACCGCUACUCGCCGGUAUAGAAGGAUGUGAUUGAAUGACAAGUCCAAGAGAUGCUCAACUCAGGCCUCAUUCACAACAUGGGCCCCUACGCCUCACAUGUGCUGCUCAUGAAAAAUAAGGAUGGCAGCUGGAGUUUUUGUGUGGAUUUUCGACGCCUGAAUACUGCAAUAGUGAAGAAUAAGUUUCCACUUCCCGUUGUCGAUGAGCUGCUCGAUGAAAUGGCUGGGGCCAAAUAUUUAUCCAAUAUCGAUCUAUGCAUGGGGUACCAUCAACGCAUGCGGGAAGAAGACGAAGAGAAGAUUGCCUUCAAGACGCAUCACGGCCACUACCACUUUCGCUCCAUGCCGUUCGGCUUGUGCAAUGUGCCGGCUACAUUCCAGUGCUUGAUGAACACAAUCUUUGGUCGCUACGUCCGUAAGUUCAUAAUCAUCUUCCUGGACGACAUAUUGGUUUUUAGCAUUGACCUUCAAGAACACUAAGAACACUUGCGCCACACUCUGAACCUCCUCCGCGAGCAUCAACUAUUCGCCAAGGCCAGCAAGUGUUCAUUCGCACACACAAGCAUUGAGUACCUCGGGCAUGUGAUCACCCAAGACGUUGUCGCCACUGAUACAAGCAAGACCAGCGCCAUGUAGGCCUGGCUCGUGCCCGCGACACCCACUGAGCUGCAUGGAUUUCUAGUGUUAACAGACUACUACCGCAAAUUCGUCCCCCACUACGGCAUCAUCGCCAAGCCCCUUACUCAACUCCUCUCGAAGAAAGGCUUUCUCUGGAGCGACAAGGCGCAACAAGCGUUCGACAUGCUCAAGCAAGCCAUGGUGAGAACGCCGGUCUUGGUACUCCCCAACUUUACGCGCCCGUUCGCCAUCGAAACUGAUGCAUGAGACACUGGCGUGGUCGCGGUGCUCACCCAGGACGGCCACCCAGUCGCCUACCUCAGCAAGGCUCUGCGGGUGCCAAAUCAGAACCUUUCCACGUACGAGAAGAAUUUCUUGCCGUGA